CCUACGGGAGGCAGCAGUGGGGAAUAUUGGACAAUGGGCGAAAGCCUGAUCCAGCCAUGCCGCGUGUGUGAAGAAGGCCUUCGGGUUGUAAAGCACUUUCAGUGGGGAAGAAAGCCUUGGGGCUAAUACCCUCGAGGAAGGACAUCACCCACAGAAGAAGCACCGGCUAACUCCGUGCCAGCAGCCGCGGUAAUACGGAGGGUGCGAGCGUUAAUCGGAAUUACUGGGCGUAAAGCGCGCGUAGGCGGUCUGAUAAGCCGGUUGUGAAAGCCCCGGGCUCAACCUGGGAACGGCAUCCGGAACUGUCAGGCUAGAGUGCAGGAGAGGAAGGUAGAAUUCCCGGUGUAGCGGUGAAAUGCGUAGAGAUCGGGAGGAAUACCAGUGGCGAAGGCGGCCUUCUGGACUGACACUGACGCUGAGGUGCGAAAGCGUGGGUAGCAAACAGGAUUAGAUAUCCCAGUAGUC
Molecule: ribosomal RNA, 465 nt
Filed under: Vreelandella stevensii
Lineage: Bacteria; Pseudomonadati; Pseudomonadota; Gammaproteobacteria; Oceanospirillales; Halomonadaceae
Description: partial 16S ribosomal RNA
Rfam family: Bacterial small subunit ribosomal RNA
Source: RNAcentral